GUCACUGGUUCGAUUCCUGGCCAGGGCACAUGCCUGCGUUGCGGGUCAAUCCCCAGUCGAGGCACAUACAAGAGGACAGCCAAUCCAUGUCUCUCUCUCUCUCUCUCUGUCUCUCUCUCUCUCUCAAGCAGUGAAAAGAAUAUCCUCAGUAGGAUAAAAGAAAAAAAAUUUUAAAAAAAAAUGUGGACCGGUUACCUGAGAAAAGAGUAAUGAUGAGAACUGGCCUUGUGUACCUGAGGAAGAAACACGCUAGUUCAAUGCAGCUCCCAGCGCCAGAACCCGAGGCCAGCUGGGAGUGGGGGGGGAUAACAGGUGACCACACAGACUCAGCACAGAAAUCAACUUGUAGCAUUAUGAGAGGCAGCCGAUUCUCAAUCAAAACUUCCAAAUGGUUCCUGUAUCAGGUGGUAGUUUUAAAAUGUGUUCAAAGGUCCCACGAUUCUUCAUACCGUCUAUUAUAGGAAUAAACUUUUGAGUCAAAACCCAGGAAGUAGGAAAUAAAGGGGAAUGUACAGCUUCUAUUUACAAACACUUCUCUUCUCAACAGGGUCAGAUCCACCAGCAACCCCAGGGCCAUUCCCAACGGCAGGAGCAAACAGGGCCGCUGGGACAAAGCAGAACACACACGUAACCAGCAACGGACUUGGAAGAAACUCUUCACCUAAUUCAUAUUAACAGGCGGGAGAAAUGUAUUCAAAUCUAGUAUUUGAAGUGAUGGGGCUAAAAACG
Long non-coding RNA from Phyllostomus discolor (pale spear-nosed bat), 729 nucleotides. RefSeq lists it as uncharacterized. NCBI's taxonomy places the organism in Eukaryota, Metazoa, Chordata, Mammalia, Chiroptera, Phyllostomidae. The record is from RefSeq and is a predicted model, not a curated record. The transcript is spliced from 2 exons.